This 310-nucleotide ribosomal RNA is filed under the name Brephosceles sp. 2 LMS-2018. Its description in RNAcentral is "partial 12S small subunit ribosomal RNA". Lineage: Eukaryota; Metazoa; Arthropoda; Arachnida; Sarcoptiformes; Alloptidae. The record is from RNAcentral.
CUUAAUUCUAUUGGCGGUUGAUUAACCUUUCACAGGAAUUUGUUGAUUUUGAUGGAUACCCCGCUUUUACUUUUACUAUUGUUAAUUUUAUGUACGGCUGUUUUAUUUUAAUUUAGGUAUUUUUAUUAAAAAUUUAUUUUCUUAUAUCAGGUCAAUGUGUAGAGUAUACAGUAGUUUUCAGUGAGUUACUUUAAUAGGAUUCAUUUUUUAAUUAAUGUCGAAAUUGGAUGUGAUAGUAAAUUAAUAAUUUAAUUUUUUAUUGAUGAAGGUCCUAAUCAAAGUACAUAUCGCCCGUCACUCUUUAUUAUAG